This is a long non-coding RNA of Hyla sarda, 950 nucleotides long. RefSeq lists it as uncharacterized. NCBI's taxonomy places the organism in Eukaryota, Metazoa, Chordata, Amphibia, Anura, Hylidae. The record is from RefSeq and is a predicted model, not a curated record. The transcript is spliced from 4 exons.
UCGAAAAUGCACUAAAAAUAGAAAAUAAAAGGCGGGAUCUAGCAACAAGAUUGGUUUAUCUAUUGCCUUCUUAAAAAUGAAAGAAGAAACGCGAUUGGUUGCUAUUGCCAACUGUGAUGUGAUUGGUUGCUAUGGGCAACUGCACUACUGCACGCAGGUUUUGAUAAAUCUCCUCCAAAGUCACCCAUCAUAAAUCUGAAGGCGAAACUUGGAUCCGUGCCACUAAAUAAAUCCAACAGAUAAACCCCAUUAUAAGGCAGUAUUCACACCAGGAUUAUUUCACCUAUUCUUCAGUCAUAGGAAGGUGGUGAAGAAUUCGCCUACAACAUCCCCUUAGUACCCUGUGACUUUAAUGGGGUCCACCGAGUGUUGAAUGCAGCGCCAUUUUCUGGGAUUAUUUACGGAACCUGCAAUUAGGUUUCUGACACUUGUGUACACAGCCUUAUUGAGUGGAGCUGAUCCAGGCCUAUAAGGAAGCUGUUGGAUUUUAUAUUAGUUCCUAUGGUGCUCCUUUCUAGUCAGCAAUCCCUCGCUGAGCUGCAGAUGAACUUGCAGAGAUGUGUGCUGACAUGCACAAAUGGCGGCUGGUCCUGACGGCGCAGGGCCUGGGUGAUACCGCCCGAUGUUACCGAGGAGAUGGAUGCAGAGCCUCGUGUUUUCAGCGUCUGACGUCAGGAGUCUUGCAAACCAUAGGAGCUGAAACUGAUUGAGUCCAGACCUAGAAGCAGGAAUGUUAACCACUAAGCGAGGAGGAAGGAAAAUUUAUGGAAACGUAUUAGACUUACUUAGGCCUUUCAAAAACUUGUUGACACCACUGGGCUCUGUUUCAGGGAGAGUCUUCAGAUAUUCACAGGCCCGCACCUCAAAAAGUCCUGAAUAAUAAAAAGAGAACAUUUUCCAUAUUUACAGAAGAUUCCUCUACCAAAAGUCAAAGCGAAUGCAUAUAGCAG